This is a transfer RNA of Ovis aries (sheep), 74 nucleotides long. It matches the Rfam family "tRNA". From Rfam's summary of the family: Transfer RNA (tRNA) molecules are approximately 80 nucleotides in length. The record is from Rfam. Lineage: Eukaryota; Metazoa; Chordata; Mammalia; Artiodactyla; Bovidae.
UCCCUGGUGGCUCAGAUGGUAAAAAGAAUCUGCCCGCAAUGCAGGAGACCCAGGUUCGAUCCCUGGGUUGGGAA